Candidatus Amoebophilus asiaticus 5a2 is the source of this 72-nucleotide transfer RNA. It matches the Rfam family "tRNA". From Rfam's summary of the family: Transfer RNA (tRNA) molecules are approximately 80 nucleotides in length. Their secondary structure includes four short double-helical elements and three loops (D, anti-codon, and T loops). Lineage: Bacteria; Pseudomonadati; Bacteroidota; Cytophagia; Cytophagales; Amoebophilaceae. The record is from Rfam.
CGCGGGGUGGAGCAGUGGUAGCUCGUCGGGCUCAUAACCCGAAGGUCACAGGUUCGAAUCCUGUCCCCGCUA